RNAcentral lists this ribosomal RNA (301 nucleotides) under uncultured bacterium. Its description in RNAcentral is "partial 16S ribosomal RNA". It matches the Rfam family "Bacterial small subunit ribosomal RNA", at positions 509 to 809 of the family's 1533-position model. The record is from RNAcentral.
CAGUCGCCGCGGGAACACGGAGGGGGCUAGCGUUGUUCGGAAUUACUGGGCGUAAAGCGCACGUAGGCGGCUUUGUAAGUUAGAGGUGAAAGCCCGGAGCUCAACUCCGGAAUUGCCUUUAAGACUGCAGAGCUAGCAGGUGAGAGAGGUGAGUGGAAUUCCGAGUGUAGAGGUGAAAUUCGUAGAUAUUCGGAAGAACACCAGUGGCGAAGGCGGCUCACUGGCUCAUACUGGACGCUGAGGUGCGAAAGCGUGGGGAGCAAACAGGAUUAGAUACCCCCGUAGUCCCUGUCUCUUAUAU